Molecule: long non-coding RNA, 7446 nt
Organism: Lagopus muta (rock ptarmigan)
Lineage: Eukaryota; Metazoa; Chordata; Aves; Galliformes; Phasianidae
Exons: 2
Source: RefSeq, a predicted model, not a curated record
AUAGGUUCAGCUAAUGCUGCUGGGCUCUUUCAUGGACAGCUUGGCAGCUACCCUGAAGAAUGCAGCCCAUGUGUAUUAAUAGACCAGAAAAGUGAUUCACUGUUCUAUGUACCUGUGAAAGGAUUUGCCUGGAAGAAGGAGAAAGGGAACUGUUGUCAAAUUCUGGACUGGAGUGAACUGUAAUGCUGAAGCUGAGAGGGGAAGUGUCAAGGAGCAGAGCUGCAGAAAGGCUUCCUGGCUGAUCAACCAACAGACAGCACUUUCUGAAUGCAAAUUUUUGGAUUUGAACACCUUUGGCACCUGUCACUAGGCUGCCCAGAGAGGAGUCAGUCAUCACCACUGAUUGUGCUUGUACCGUUGCUGGCUAAAAGGUAACAGCAUGUGAAUACUGAUCAGGAAGAAGUAAACUUACAGGUGAAAUAGAAAGUUUUUGCUAAGAAAUUCUGGAGAAAUGACCGUGUCACCUUUUAAAUAAUUGGUUUAAUGGUACAUAAGCAUCAUUAUCUUCCAAGGUGAUUAUGAAGAGGAGAAAGGAACAGGAUACUGUUGCUACCAUCCUUUGCACCAGCAGAACAAGCAAAAAUUAAUUUGAGGAAAACUGUCUAACAGUACAGCUAAUAAAAUACCACAUUAAGUUCAAAUGGAAAUAAAGAGAAUUCACCUGAGGAAUAAAACCUGUCCAUUCAUGCCAAGAAAACCCCUGCAAAACAGCUCCCUAAUUGAAAGUGCAGGCAGGAUACUUCAUCAAAGUCUCUCUAACAAGCAGAUCCUAUCAUUUCCCCUAUGAGAGAGAAGGAAAAGGUACAUGCCCGACUUGCUCAUGCAUACGUGCCUCACAAUGACUCGGAGAGAUCUUCAGAAUGCAAGGAAACCUCCCGAGUUGCCAUAUCAUUCAUGGACUCAUUGCCUGCAAACAAGCACAGUAUGGGAGUGUAAGGAAAAUAAAGAAGAGCGGAGGAAAAGAAAAAAUAUAUAUAUACAUGUAUAUACACACUAACUCUCCGAAAAUCUUGACUGACUCCAAGGAAAGCAUCAAGGUUCUAAAGUCCAAAUGACUGACAUUAUGAGUCUGGUGUUUUGGAAACCCCACACUGGGGCUCAAUGUGUGAAUGCAAGGAUUCCCACAAGCGAUGCCUUCGUGAGCACAGAGGCCUCUAAUAUGGCACAAAAAGCACCAAACACCAGGCUGGCUGUGACCACAAGCCAUUGGAGAUGCUGUCAACAUAUCAUCUCUACUGCUCAGUGAAAGCUGAUGGAGAGUGAGCUUCAGAGCAGGAGCCCCAUGAGUGUGAGGCACCAUCACAGCAAGGGAGACACCACCGCUCUCACAGCUAGGCUGUGGUAACCCACUGCAGCCACUACACUGGCUCUUGCCAACCUGCCCCAGCAUGGUAGCCCAUUCAUCUUUCCUUUCUCUAUUGGCUUUGUCAUCCUUCCAGAAGAGAUGGAUGCAAAGAACUCCCAGGUGACUGGAAAGAAGCCUUCCCAAAGUGCCCCAUCACACUCAUCCCAUUUCACACUUCAGCCCAUUUCUCUCUCCCUCAAGCAGGUUGCAGGCUUCUGUUCAGCCAGGCCCUCGCAUUCCCUCUCGCUUCCCAUCCUUGCCCCCACAGAGCAAAGUGGAAACUCUCAGGGUGGCUGCCAGAGGCACCCGGAAACGGGGUGAGGAACCCAGGGCAGUGCUCCCCAGCAUGCUUCUUCCUGCUGAGGAAAUCUCUCAGAGGAACCUCUGGGGCAAUAGGAAGGCAGCAGAGCUUCCUGCUGGCUUGCAAGCUCUGUUUCUAUUCUGCAAUUUUCCCUGAGCACUCAGCAAACCAUUCAGAUGCUUGGACCAUAUGGUAAUUCAUUUGUCUUGGAUUAAUUUUUAUCUGUAUUAGAGAUUUAUUCCUGGUCACUGUUUAUUCUCCAACAACAUAUACCCUAGCAAUGGCCAUAACAGCUACACUAUUAAUGUGGUAAAAAAUUUGGCUCCUCCGUUAGCUGUUCUGUUCCUCUCACAAAGACAAGGAAGAAAUAUUUUAAACCUAGUCCCUAGUUUACCCUAGUUUAUCUCCAUAACAACAGCUUGCCUCUGGGCCAGCAGGCCAAGCUGACCUGCCUGGCUCCUGCUGGUGUCUGCCACUGAGGCAUUGCACUACAAGAUCUUCCUCAUGGUGGCACAGAACAAACAUCUAAGGAGCAUAAGGGCUGAAGAUAAGGAUGCAGGAUGCCUCACCAGCUCAUCAACCCCCAGGUUGCAGUAUGAGGAAAGGAAAAACAGAAAAACAGCUUUUCAGGAGUAUGUGGCACACACAGGUACAUACAGCGGUCUUGUCUAUUCCUGGCUGAAUGUUUGACCUCUCUGAAUGAGGCAUGGGAUUAAAGAGGGCUAAAGUGCAGAAAGGUGUUCCUCCCAAGGAGCGAGCAACGUGCUCUGCUUUCUCACUAAAAGAAAGAAAUUCUACCUUUGUGUAGGAUGACCCAAAUUUCUCUUUUAAGACACGCAUGAGGCUUGAAUAUUUUUUUUCACCCUAGCGUAUCACUUAAAUUCAAAGCAGCAGAAGUGUCCAUAUCCUGACAGACACUCAGCCUAUUUCAUUCAAAAGCAUUCAUAAAGUAUUUCACACACUAAAGAUGGUUGUCACAAUAAAGAGUAAUUCCUGCAAAGUUUUAAUGUUAGCUCUGAAAUUCAUGUAUUACAUUUUUAUUUUUAUUUUUUUUUUUAAACUUGCCAAGCCAAAAGAUGCUAAAGGGAAAAAAAAGAAAAAAGCAAGCAGCAUGGUGGUUUCCACACUGGUGGGCAGCUGAACGCAAUGCCUGCUCUCUCAUCUGCCUUCUGAAGAGAAGAUAGGGAAGAGGUCUCAAGGGUUGGGACAAGGACAGGGAAAUCACUCAACCAGUUUCUGUCACAGGCAAAACACUCUCAGUGUGGGGACAUUCAUAGAGUUUAUUGUCUAUCGUAAACAGACCAGUGAGAACUAAAAGCAAACUAAAAACACCUCUCCCUUGCCACCCAUCCUCUUCCACCUCCUUACCUGAGCAGUGCAGAAGAACAGGGAAUGAGGGCUACUAUCAGUCCGUAACAUCACUGCCACUCCCUCAUGGAGCCCUUUUCUCCUUGUUAUACAGCUACUCUGAAGACAGCUUAAAAUUCACAAAUGUAUAUUUGCAAGGCUUUGAACCUGAUUCAGAUCUAAUUCCGUGCCCAGGACAAGCUUAGUGCAAGGCUUCCACGUAGUCACUCCUUCAGAUUGGGUCAAUACACAGCACUCACUCCAUAUGUGGCCAAUGUAGACAAUACAUCCCGAUGUGAAGAACUCCACCACUCCUACUGGCCCCCAAGAGCUCACAAGCUCUCCAAUUACUAUACACAUUACCUAAGCAGCAUCUAUGUUUUUAAAAUAGUAGAGAGAGCAGCUUUAAACUAAAAUAUAUUUAACUUGAGUCCCUCUGGAGCUAACAUCCAUGAUCAAAAUAGUCAACUAAAAUUCAUUAAAUCUACUUACCUCAGUAUAAUUGAAAUGCAAAUCUCAGUGAAACAUUUUAGCUAAACAGGUGAAUUCCUCUUUGAAUCACACAGUGAUGCCAUUCUUAGAGAACAAUAUCUGACACAAAGCACACAGGCUCCAGGGACCUCAAAAUCUACCAGCACUCAAGUUUCUGAAUGAUAAAAUUGCCAUAUAAAAACAUAAGUAAUUAAUUGCUCCUUUCAGCAGGUCUUGUCUGAUGUACUCAGACAAGAGUAAAUUAUAAGUUUAUAAGACAAGUUUAAAUUAUACAUCUUUCAGAAUAACUCAUCUAUUGAACUUGGACAUAGGGGAAGAAAUGGUAGCAACACCUUCCACACCUACAAUAUUUGCAACAGGCUCAGAAAAAGAAAAGCACCAUAGCUGAAACAAUGGUUGGGACAUCACAAAAUUGGCUGAGUAAUUUUGGAUGAAUUUUCCAGGUUAAACAAAAUCAGAAACAUUAAUUUCUGCAUUCGAACUCAUGACAUCAAAAGUUGAAUCAUGUGAAUCUCUAAAUACCAUAAUUUCAAAGAAUUCAUUGCAAAUAAAAAAAAUAUUCUGGCACAUGCCUCCAAUAUCUGAAAAAAUAUAUUGUGUAUCUAUAAGCUAAACGCAUUUACAGAUGCAUUAGAUAUAAAUACAUAACGUAAAUACACAUAUUUGUAAUAUGAUCAUAUAUGUAAUGAUCACUGAGUGCGAAGAGUAUUGUUUAAUGAAAAAAAAGUAAAGGUGUUUGAGUUCCUAUAAAAAAGCCAAAGCAGAUUUGGGUGCUGGAUUGCUCUGCAUUAUUUAUGUGGUUAUACUUAAUAUUCUUCUUCUUGUUUUAAAGUCAGGACCUGAGAUAUUCCUGAAUUUCUCAAUGGCAAAUUCUUUGCAUCUUAUCUUUAAAGGCUGAACCACAGUGCACAACUCAGCCUUAUCCAAGACAGCCUCCAAACUGAGAAGUCAGCAAAUCAAGAUAGUAAACAAGCAGAAAGAAGAAGAUAUGAGUGUUUACUACAAACAAGAAACACAAAGAUUGAAUUCCACAGCUGUUACAGAAGAGACAGCUGGAUAUGAAUGCUGCUUAGAGCAGACAUAGUGUGCUAACCACUGAGAUGUUUCUUGCCUAGAUGGAAAAAGAUUUUGUACUGAUUGUCAUUCAGGACAUUUCGUGAAGAGUACCUCCCAAAUUGGAAACUACUUGCUUUUGCUGGCUUUAGAUAAGUAGGUGAAAAGGCACAACCUGCACCAGACAAUACCUGGUUUCCAUGAAGAUGGCUUUGAAACUGAGGAUGGAAUCAGAUGAAGAAUAAGUAAAACAACUGUUAAAUUAUGAUAAUUCCUCUAAGAAAUAUGAGAAAUCUUCAAAGGAAAAAUGAUAGGAAUUAUAUCAUUCAAUAAUUGAAUACUGGUUCUCCAAUAAGACAUGAAAUAUUAGAAAACACUAUAAAUGCCCAAAAGGUUAUCUAUUGACUUCAUACUUCACAGCUACUUUUGUGCAGACAAUGAGGGAGCAAGACCUGCAGAAAACAAGCUACUGCUGUCAGAGAGCUUGUGGUUGAAACCAUUUCUAUUCUAAUGAAAUAGUGAAUCUACAGAAGAGCCCUUUCUCCAAGAUCAAUAGAAAGGCUUCUGUAGGCUUCCCAGCAAAGAAUGUUUGUUAGGAGGUUGCAAGAGAAAGAAGACUGCUGCCAAUCUCUGACCAUUGAGAUGUUCACAUCUCACAGUAGAAGUAUUGCAUAUACUUCAGUGCCCACUUUAAAACUUGUGGGAAUUUUUUGACACCUGAAAUUCAUUAAAUAGAUCAUGACAAGUUCAUCUGAGAUGCAAGCCUACUUCCUUUGCUUGAUUUAUAUUGGAUUUAAAAGUAGUACCUGCUGGGACUUUAAGUUAUGAUUAAAUUUGAAAUGUCAUUGUGGGACCUCAAAAAAAACAAGAGCUCCAGCCCAGGGAAGGAACCAGUACCGAGUCAUUUGGGGAACAGCCAUCCACUUUCAUGAAAGAAAAUCAUUACAUUUGUCAACCAGAAUCUUACCAAAUUACAGGAUUCUUAACAGAGCAGCCUUCUAGGUAUUACAUUUUGUCGUCUUAAGAAUGGCAGAAGUUGCCAAAAUUCAUUACAGUGGGGAUAAGAUAGCUGGACCUCGUGUCCACUGAGCUGUAGAAUCUGUACAAUACCCAUAAUGACUGCUGCUGGUGGGAGUGUUGCAAUUCCUCUGUCCAGUGCUGUAUCUGGCUGACAAAUUCACAACACGGUUGCAGAUGCUGGCAGGCAGUUGUUGAUCAGUGCUCAAAGUGACAAGUGAUGUUCAGAAGUUCUUCUGGCUUGAAUGUUUCCUCCCUGCAUGUCAACCUCUGUCCUCUUUCAGUCAGGUGGCUUUUGCUAGAGCCUCACUGGUGUACAUCAGUGACACAGGUAGGAAGGAAACACAGUUUUGGCUUUCUUUAGAUGGUUGCUUAGCACAAUCCAGACUGGAACUACCUUGUUAGCAUUGUGAAUUAAGUAUUACUGGGAAGAGGAAAAUACUGAGACCUAAUAGUUGUCACCCUGUACCAUAGAUAUGCUCUGCUUUAAUAGAAAGUGAAAACAGUGACAAAACUUUAAGAAGAAUUUAUAAAGCUCCUGCCUUUACAGCCUUUUUAAACUUCUGCUCAACCUAACUUUCUGUGACAAGAAAAAUUAGAAACUUGACUUCAGUAACUUUUUCCAAAUCAGCUGGUAGAGUUAAUCUGGGUGUUUUAUAGAAUGGCUCUUAGGUGUAUGGAUCAGAUUUAAGAUGAGGAAUAACUAAUGUUACCAGAACUUUUCACUAUAGCAGAAAAAGGAAAGAGAAAGAAAGAGAGAAAGAGAACUCUCUUCUAUAAAGCUGCAGCUAUUAUAGAAGAAACAAAGGGGGAUAUUUGCUAUCCUUUUCUGGAAAAAGUGACAGAACUAAAGAUCAGUCAUGACCUAGUAAAUACGAGGUACUGCCUCUUACUCUGUGUCUGGACACAGUAUUUCUGACUAUGGCAAGAAAUAAGUUCUGGAAAUUGUUGGUUCUGACUUACCUUGCCCUUUAUCCUCUCCUCCAUGCACCUGCUGCUGAAGGUAGGAAACCUGGCUAUGGGCAUCUCUAACCAAGGGAAGCCUUUUUUUUUUUUUUCCCCUCUGGUUAGUCUGUCCAACAAUUAGCACUGUACAGGCCUACCAUAAGAAGAAAAAGAGAAAUGGAUAACAGAUUUAUUUAAUUGCGUUUAUACAAGUAAAAGACAAAAGAUCUCAGUCCAUCUGUAUACGAAGCAUCAUGCAAGCAGUGUCUGUUUGCAUUUAUAAUUCAAUCCAUUUUCAUCUUCCACUUUGGAGUCUCCAAGUCUUUACUAAACUUCAGGCAGGAUACUAAUCACUGGUAAAGGUUAGGUGUACAAUUUUUUUUCCAAAAUAGACCAGAAACAAGCACAAAGGGCACUAGUAGUGAUGUAUUUUAAUUACUCCUUCCAGUGGCAACCUUAUCCAGAAGAUGUCACCAAAACACAAGUAGUACUCAAUGUUCCUACAACAAAGAACAUAAAUGGAAGGACUUCUAGUCUGUAGAUGAACCACAGAAAAUAAAAUAAAGAAGGAUGCUGAAAGAAUACCUCAAAAUAAAAUUACUGUUUUUCAAGGAGAAGAUUAAAUCCUCGUAUCAUCAUAGCAAGAAUGCUGGAUACACUGUACAAGGAGAAAAUCUGACGGAAAAUAUAGAAUGAUGUUUUGAGCAGAGAUCACAUUCUUGCCAAAAUUCUUCCCUUAAAUUAACAAAACAUGGGCAGAGCAACCAUUGAACUAUUGAACAAAGAAGUUUUUCAUUUUCUGAAAGUUUAAAAAAAAAAUUAAACCAUAACAUGGUGAAAUUAGAAUUCUUCUUUUAUUUGGAUUUAAAUAAAUGAAUAGUAUGUCCAACAAGUUCACAGAGCAGGCACAGACCUUAAAAAAAAAACAAAAAAAAAAAAAACACAA